AAAAACUUAGGUCCUCUUCGUUUCCCUGUUGCUGGAUCCAGCGACCAGCGACCAGCGACAGUAACCAACGACAACAUACAUUGUUCGUUUGUUUGUCGCUGGACUCAGCGACCAAUUACAGCGACAAUCGCUAAUAAUUGUCGCUGUGUUGUUCGUUUGACUGUUUCUAUAAACAGUCGUUAUAUUUUUUUUUUAAAUUAAUUAUUUUUGGUGCUAAUUUAUAUUUUAAAAUC
Molecule: small RNA, 233 nt
Filed under: Arabidopsis thaliana (thale cress)
Lineage: Eukaryota; Viridiplantae; Streptophyta; Magnoliopsida; Brassicales; Brassicaceae
Description: ATSL256590
Source: RNAcentral